UAGGGAAUCUUCCACAAUGGACGCAAGUCUGAUGGAGCAACGCCGCGUGAGUGAAGAAGGUUUUCGGAUCGUAAAGCUCUGUUGUUGGUGAAGAAGGAUAGAGGCAGUAACUGGUCUUUAUUUGACGGUAAUCAACCAGAAAGUCACGGCUAACUACGUGCCAGCAGCCGCGGUAAUACGUAGGUGGCAAGCGUUGUCCGGAUUUAUUGGGCGUAAAGCGAGCGCAGGCGGAAUGAUAAGUCUGAUGUGAAAGCCCACGGCUCAACCGUGGAACUGCAUCGGAAACUGUCAUUCUUGAGUGCAGAAGAGGAGAGUGGAAUUCCAUGUGUAGCGGUGGAAUGCGUAGGUAUAUGGAAGAACACCAGUGGCGAAGGCGGCUCUCUGGUCUGCAACUGACGCUGAGGCUCGAAAGCAUGGGUAGCGAACAGG
RNAcentral lists this ribosomal RNA (429 nucleotides) under bacterium. RNAcentral's name for it is "partial 16S ribosomal RNA". It matches the Rfam family "Bacterial small subunit ribosomal RNA", at positions 355 to 776 of the family's 1533-position model. The record is from RNAcentral.